GGAGUCUGGGCCGUGUCUCAGUCCCAAUGUGGCCGUCCAACCUCUCAGUCCGGCUACUGAUCGUUGCCUUGGUGAGCCGUUACCUCACCAACCAGCUAAUCAGACGCGAGCUCAUCCUUAAGCGAUAAAUCUUUUAUAGCUGUAUCAUGCGAUACUACUAUCUUAUGCGGUAUUAACAGUCAUUUCUAACUGGUAUCCCCCUCUUAAGGGCAGAUUGCUCACGUGUUACUCACCCGUCCGCCACUAGGUUAUCAAAAGCAAGCUCUCGAUAACUCCGUUCGACUUGCAUGUGUUAAGCGUGCCGCCAGCGUGUCUGAGCCACUGAUCAAACUACU
Molecule: ribosomal RNA, 335 nt
Filed under: uncultured Ruminococcus sp.
Lineage: Bacteria; Bacillati; Bacillota; Clostridia; Eubacteriales; Oscillospiraceae
Description: partial 16S ribosomal RNA
Source: RNAcentral